ACGGCAGCACGGGAGCAAUCCUGGUGGCGAGUGGCGAACGGGUGAGUAAUAUAUCGGAACGUGCCCAGUCGUGGGGGAUAACGCAGCGAAAGCUGUGCUAAUACCGCAUACGAUCUCUGGAUGAAAGCGGGGGACUCAGCAAUGAGCCUCGCGCGAUUGGAGCGGCCGAUAUCAGAUUAGCUAGUUGGUGGGGUAAAAGCCCACCAAGGCGACGAUCUGUAGCUGGUCUGAGAGGACGACCAGCCACACUGGAACUGAGACACGGUCCAGACUCCUACGGGAGGCAGCAGUGGGGAAUUUUGGACAAUGGGCGCAAGCCUGAUCCAGCAAUGCCGCGUGCAGGAUUAAGGCCUUCGGGUUGUAAACUGCUUUUGUACGGAACGAAACGGUUCUUUCUAAUAAAGAGGGCUAAUGACGGUACCGUAAGAAUAAGCACCGGCUAACUACGUGCCAGCAGCCGCGGUAAUACGUAGGGUGCGAGCGUUAAUCGGAAUUACUGGGCGUAAAGCGUGCGCAGGCGGUUAUAUAAGACAGAUGUGAAAUCCCCGGGCUCAACCUGGGACCUGCAUUUGUGACUGUAUAGCUAGAGUACGGUAGAGGGGGAUGGAAUUCCGCGUGUAGCAGUGAAAUGCGUAGAUAUGCGGAGGAACACCGAUGGCGAAAGCAAUCCCCUGGACCUGUACUGACGCUCAUGCACGAAAGCGUGGGGAGCAAACAGGAUUAGAUACCCUGGUAGUCCACGCCCUAAACGAUGUCAACUGGUUGUUGGGUCUUCACUGACUCAGUAACGAAGCUAACGCGUGAAGUUGACCGCCUGGGG
RNAcentral lists this ribosomal RNA (820 nucleotides) under uncultured bacterium. RNAcentral describes it as "bacterial SSU rRNA". It matches the Rfam family "Bacterial small subunit ribosomal RNA", at positions 66 to 878 of the family's 1533-position model. The record is from RNAcentral.